Molecule: RNA transcript, 1512 nt
Organism: Leucoraja erinaceus (little skate)
Lineage: Eukaryota; Metazoa; Chordata; Chondrichthyes; Rajiformes; Rajidae
Exons: 2
Source: RefSeq, a predicted model, not a curated record
UAGCAACCUCUUUGGUAGUAAUGGAACUCAUAGGACAAGUCGAUUUACGGCAGGUACUGCUUGGGUGUUCGUGAGAGUUAUCACGAUGGUAAAGAUGUUGUUAAUCUUACUCUUGCAAUAUUAAUUUGGAUCGUCGUAAAAUGCACAUGCAUCCCCAUUGCCAAUUAUUUUAUUUAAAUGGAUGGCAUCGUCUGCUGGAAAUGGGAGAGAACAAAAGUACUACGAAUACUCGAAGAUGGACACAUCUCUGGAGAGAAGGAAUGGUGACGUUUAGGAUCGAGACCCUUCUUUUCUUCAGAUUGGGGAGAGUCUAGGGGAAAGGGAACCGAGAGAUAUAGACGGUGAUAUGGAGAGAUACUCAGCAGAUGCCAUCUUUGAGCAACAACGAUGAGCUGGCCUACAGGGAGGAGGUCCAGCACUUAGCAGCAUGGUGCGCUGACAACAACCUGGCCCUUAACUCCAAGAAGACCAAGGAGCUCAUUGUAGACUUCAGGAAGUCCAGAGGCGGCACGCACACCCCCAUCCACAUUAACGGGACGGAGGUGGAACGUGUUUCUAGCUUCAGGUUCCUGGGAGUCAACAUCUCCGAUGACCUCUCUUGGACCCACAAUACCUCUACUCUGAUCAAGAAGGCUCAUCAGCGUGUCUUCUUCCUGAGGAGACUGAAGAAGGUCCAUCUGUCUCCUCAGAUCCUGGUGAACUUCUACCGCUGCACCAUCGAGAGCAUCCUUACCAACUGCAUCGCAGUAUGGUAUGGCAACUGCUCUGUCUCCGACCGGAAGGCAUUGCAGAGGGUGGUGAAAAUUGCCCAACGCAUCACCGGUUCCAUGCUCCCCUCCAUUGAGUCUGUCCAAAGCAAGCGCUGUCUGCGGAGGGCGCUCAGCAUCGCCAAGGACUGCUCUCACCCCAACCAUGGACUGUUUACCCUCCUACCAUCCGGGAGGCGCUACAGGUCUCUCCGUUGCCGAACCAGCAGGUCGAGGAACAGCUUCUUUCCGGCGGCUGUCACUCUACUCAACAACGUACCUCGGUGACUGCCAAUCACCACCCCACCCCGAUAUUAUUUUUUUAUUCAAAUCGUUUGCUAUGUCGCUCUUCAAGGGAGAUGCUAAAUGCAUUUCGUUGUCUCUGUACUGUACACUGACAAUGACAAUUAAAAUUGAAUCUGAAUCUGAAUCUGAACUCGGAACUACCUAACUCAUUGCUGGUGCACAUAUUUGAAUAGCACAUUCAUCCCUUUAAUCUCACGCCUCGACCCAAAUUUUGAGCAAUUGGGUAAUGCAAGGAUAAAGAUUCCCUUUCCAGCGAUUCUUAAGUAAUUUGACUUAUUUUGCAGAGGUAACUACAAUCCACAGAUUAACUGGUGCUGUAGGAUGGAGACAAGUAAUAGUGCACCUAGAUCAACUAUAAAUAAGAUACAAGGUCCAUUGAAUAUUGGGAGGAAAACCGCACUAGUAAGAAAAAUUUUGACAUCACGCACAUUUCAGUCAAAGAAAGGGUGCAAAGGCUAUA